GACACCCCUCUAUCCCACCACCGCGAGCGCCGGCCGGGCAGCCAUCCCAGCGCCGAAAAUCGCGGGUGAAUUUGGAGCGCCCCGCGCGCUCGGAAUCGGGCUGGAAACCUAGGGUUUGGACCUGGCCGUUGGGGAUUUGGGGCACGCGGCGCGGCGGCGGAGCUGGGAAAUUUGCUAUGGAGGUGGAGGUGGAGGGGAGCCCGAACCGAAGCUGCAGAAGGGGAGAGUGACGACUUGACUUUUUU
RNAcentral lists this long non-coding RNA (245 nucleotides) under Oryza brachyantha (malo sina). RNAcentral's name for it is "long non-coding RNA (OBRA_LNC000855)". Lineage: Eukaryota; Viridiplantae; Streptophyta; Magnoliopsida; Poales; Poaceae. The record is from RNAcentral.